This 547-nucleotide ribosomal RNA is filed under the name uncultured bacterium. RNAcentral's name for it is "bacterial SSU rRNA". It matches the Rfam family "Bacterial small subunit ribosomal RNA", at positions 28 to 617 of the family's 1533-position model. The record is from RNAcentral.
GAUGAACGCUGGCGACGUGGAUAAGGCAUGCAAGUCGAACGGUUGUAGCAAUACAACAGUGGCGAACGGGUUAGUAACACGUAGAUAUCAACCCUUUACUCGGGCAUAACCUGGAGAAAUCUAGGCUAAUUCCCGAUAGUCCGGAAACGGUAAAGAUUUUUCGGUAAAGGAUGAGUCUGCGUCCUAUCAGCUAGUUGGUGAGGUAAUGGCUCACCAAGGCAAUGACGGGUAGGCGGAGUGAGAGCUUGACCGCCAACAAUGGCACUGAGACACGGGCCAUACUCCUACGGGAGGCAGCAGUCGAGAAUAUUUGACAAUGGGCGAAAGCCUGAUCAAGCGACGUCGCGUGUGGGAUUAAGAUCUUCGGAUUGUAAACCACUUUUCUAGGGGAAGAACUUUGACUGUACCCUAGGAAUAAGGGGUGACUAAACUCGUGCCAGCAGUAGCGGUAAUACGAGUGCCCCAAGCGUUAUCCGGAUUUAUUGGGCGUAAAGGGUCUGUAGGUGGUUUGUUAAGNUUCUCGNUAAAGCUCCAGGGCUUAACCUUG